This 253-nucleotide ribosomal RNA is filed under the name uncultured bacterium. Its description in RNAcentral is "partial 16S ribosomal RNA". It matches the Rfam family "Bacterial small subunit ribosomal RNA", at positions 524 to 776 of the family's 1533-position model. The record is from RNAcentral.
UACGUAGGGUGCAAGCGUUGUCCGGAAUUAUUGGGCGUAAAGAGCUCGUAGGCGGUUUGUCGCGUCUGCUGUGAAAACUCGGGGCUUAACUCCGGGCCUGCAGUGGGUACGGGCAGACUAGAGUGCGGUAGGGGAGACUGGAAUUCCUGGUGUAGCGGUGAAAUGCGCAGAUAUCAGGAGGAACACCGGUGGCGAAGGCGGCAUCCUGGACCAAUAUUGACGCUGAGGAGCGAAAGCCAGGGGAGCAAACGGG